UCCCUAAUGGUCCAGUGGUUAAGACUCUGCACUUCCAAAGCAAGGGUACAGGUUUGAUUCUUGGUUGGGGAA
This 72-nucleotide transfer RNA is filed under the name Ovis aries (sheep). It matches the Rfam family "tRNA". From Rfam's summary of the family: Transfer RNA (tRNA) molecules are approximately 80 nucleotides in length. Lineage: Eukaryota; Metazoa; Chordata; Mammalia; Artiodactyla; Bovidae. The record is from Rfam by way of RNAcentral.